CAAUAUAAAAAAAAAUAAAGUCCACGCAAUAUAACUCACCAUUUAGAAUAAACGUUGAUAAAUUUGUUUUUUGUGGUUAAUGUUUGGAAGUAAAAGUCGUAACAAGGUUUCCGUAGGUGAACCUGCGGAAGGAUCAUUACUGAGCGCGAGGCCCCGCAGCGCGCACGCGCUGCGGCGGUUGACCCUCCACCCGUGUGAACUCUUAUCUGUUGCUUUGGCGGGCCGGGCUCGACCUGCCGGCUCCGGCUGGCGAGUGCCCGUCAGAGAAGCCCCAACUCGUGCUGUGAGUGUUGUCUGAGGAAAUGUGGAAUUAGUAAAACUUUCAACAACGGAUCUCUUGGCUCUGGCAUCGAUGAAGAACGCAGCGAAAUGCGAUAAGUAAUGUGAAUUGCAGAAUUUAGUGAAUCAUCGAAUCUUUGAACGCACAUUGCGCCCCCCGGCAUUCCGAGGGGCAUGCCUGUUCGAGCGUCAGAACACCCCUCAAGCCUAGCUUGGUCUUGGGGCUCGCCGGCUCGGCGGCCCCUAAACGCAGUGGCGGUGCUGGUGUGCUCUCCGCGUAGUCAUGUAUCUCGCGACAGAGUGGCGACGGCACCCGCCAGAACCCCAGUCUUUGGAUGACCUCGGAUCAGGUAGGGAUACCCGCUGAACUUAAGCAUAUCAAUAAGCGGAGGAA
RNAcentral lists this ribosomal RNA (673 nucleotides) under Podosphaera xanthii. RNAcentral describes it as "eukaryotic LSU rRNA". The stretch from base 318 to 471 matches the Rfam family "5.8S ribosomal RNA". The record is from RNAcentral. Lineage: Eukaryota; Fungi; Ascomycota; Leotiomycetes; Helotiales; Erysiphaceae.